CUUUAGGUUAAUCGAGUGGUCCUAUGACUUUGGGGAUGACCACCCUUAGGUUUUUCGAUGUGUAGAAUCCAUUUUUGGGGUUAGAUCUUGCAAAUUCUGAGUCUAAGAUGAUGAUCAACAACUAAAAGUUCUAAGAGAAUCCAAUGGCAGAUCAACGGUGAGAUCGCGUCCCAUUGAUAUGAAAUUUCAGCAAGACGAUCAUCGAGCCAGGACGAUCAUAUCUUACGAUUAGAAUCAUAAAUCAAAUUCGGACGAUAAAUCGUUAGCAACCUAACAUAGUAAGAAAACUCUCAUAACCGUCUCAUUCUUUUUAAUUGUUAAAUUUUUAGAUUUGUGUUCAUAUGUUAACAUAGCUAAAACUUUAGAUAAAAUUUUGUUUAUAGUUGUAUGUAAAUUUGUGAUUGGUAUGUUAAAUAUUUGAAGGUCAUUUCUUUA
Non-coding RNA from Camellia sinensis, 435 nucleotides. The record is from RefSeq and is a predicted model, not a curated record. NCBI's taxonomy places the organism in Eukaryota, Viridiplantae, Streptophyta, Magnoliopsida, Ericales, Theaceae.